Molecule: transfer RNA, 83 nt
Filed under: Tilletia indica
Lineage: Eukaryota; Fungi; Basidiomycota; Exobasidiomycetes; Tilletiales; Tilletiaceae
Also listed under: 1 other name
Rfam family: tRNA
About the family: Transfer RNA (tRNA) molecules are approximately 80 nucleotides in length.
Source: Rfam by way of RNAcentral
GGGCGUGUAGCGCAGGGGUAGCGCGCUUCCUUCGCAUUCAGUGAUUCAGGAAGAGGUCAAGGGUUCAAUUCCCUUCUCGUCCA